UCGUAGGUGACCUGCGGAGGGAUCAUUACACAAAUAUGAAGGCGGGCUGGAACCUCUCGGGGUUACAGCCUUGCUGAAUUAUUCACCCUUGUCUUUUGCGUACUUCUUGUUUCCUUGGUGGGUUCGCCCACCACUAGGACAAACAUAAACCUUUUGUAAUUGCAAUCAGCGUCAGUAACAAAUUAAUAAUUACAACUUUCAACAACGGAUCUCUUGGUUCUGGCAUCGAUGAAGAACGCAGCGAAAUGCGAUAAGUAGUGUGAAUUGCAGAAUUCAGUGAAUCAUCGAAUCUUUGAACGCACAUUGCGCCCUUUGGUAUUCCAAAGGGCAUGCCUGUUCGAGCGUCAUUUGUACCCUCAAGCUUUGCUUGGUGUUGGGCGUCUUGUCUCUAGCUUUGCUGGAGACUCGCCUUAAAGUAAUUGGCAGCCGGCCUACUGGUUUCGGAGCGCAGCACAAGUCGCACUCUCUAUCAGCAAAGGUCUAGCAUCCAUUAAGCCUUUUUUUCAACUUUUGACCUCGGAUCAGGUAGGGAUACCCGCUGAACUUAAGCAUAUCAA
Molecule: ribosomal RNA, 557 nt
Filed under: Alternaria sp. 962 AI-2013
Lineage: Eukaryota; Fungi; Ascomycota; Dothideomycetes; Pleosporales; Pleosporaceae
Description: eukaryotic LSU rRNA
Rfam family: 5.8S ribosomal RNA (bases 194-347)
Source: RNAcentral